This 253-nucleotide ribosomal RNA is filed under the name uncultured bacterium. Its description in RNAcentral is "partial 16S ribosomal RNA". It matches the Rfam family "Bacterial small subunit ribosomal RNA", at positions 524 to 776 of the family's 1533-position model. The record is from RNAcentral.
UACGGGGGGGGCAAGCGUUGUUCGGAAUUACUGGGCGUAAAGGGCUCGUAGGCGGCCAACUAAGUCAGACGUGAAAUCCCUCGGCUUAACCGGGGAACUGCGUCUGAUACUGGAUGGCUGGAGUUUGGGAGAGGGAUGCGGAAUUCCAGGUGUAGCGGUGAAAUGCGUAGAUAUCUGGAGGGACACCGGUGGCGAAGGCGGCAUCCUGGACCAAUACUGACGCUGAGGAGCGAAAGCCAGGGGAGCAAACGGG